Molecule: transfer RNA, 72 nt
Filed under: Chroococcopsis gigantea SAG 12.99
Lineage: Bacteria; Bacillati; Cyanobacteriota; Cyanophyceae; Pleurocapsales; Pleurocapsaceae
Also listed under: 1 other name
Description: tRNA-Val
Rfam family: tRNA
About the family: Transfer RNA (tRNA) molecules are approximately 80 nucleotides in length.
Source: RNAcentral
GGGCGUUUAGCUCAGUGGUAGAGCGCCUGCCUUACAAGCAGGUGGCCGUAGGUUCAAAUCCUACAACGCCCA